CCUACGGGAGGCAGCAGUUAGGAAUAUUGGGCAAUGGAGGAAACUCUGACCCAGCAACGCCGCGUGAAGGAAGAAGGUUUUCGGAUUGUAAACUUCUGAUCGGGGGGAAGAAGAAAAUGACGGUACCACAGGAGAAAGCAACGGCUAACGACGUGCCAGCAGCCGCGGUAAUACGUAGGUGGCGAGCGUUGGCCGGAAUAACUGGGCGUAAAGGGAGCGUAGGUGGGUAAUUAAGUUAGGGGUGAAAGCCCCGGGCGCAACUCUGGAAUUGCACGUCAAACGGGUUAACUAGAGUGCAGUAGGGGUGAGCGGAAUUUCUAGUGUAGCGGUGAAAUGCGUAGAUAUUAGGAAG
RNAcentral lists this ribosomal RNA (352 nucleotides) under uncultured bacterium. RNAcentral describes it as "partial 16S ribosomal RNA". It matches the Rfam family "Bacterial small subunit ribosomal RNA", at positions 338 to 704 of the family's 1533-position model. The record is from RNAcentral.